AUUGAACGCUAGCGGCAUGCUUUACACAUGCAAGUCGAACGAGUGGCGGACGGGUGAGUAAUAUAUCGGAACCUGCCCGGUAGCGGGGGAUAACUACUCGAAACGGUGGCUAAUACCGCAUACCAUCGGAGCGGCCGAUAUGGGAUUAGCUAGUUGGUGGGGUAACGGCUCACCAAGGCAACGAUCCGUAGCUGGUUUGAGAGGAGGACCAGCCACACUGGAACUGAGACACGGCCCAGACUCCUACGGGAGGCAGCAGUGGGGAAUUUUGCACAAUGGGGGCAACCCUGAUCCAGCCAUGCCGCGUGUAUGAGAAGGCCUUCGGGUUGUAAAGUACUUUUGGCAGAGAGGCGGUAUCUGCAGAAGAAGCACCGGCUAACUCCGUGCCAGCAGCCGCGGUAAUAC
Molecule: ribosomal RNA, 405 nt
Filed under: uncultured bacterium
Lineage: Bacteria
Description: partial 16S ribosomal RNA
Rfam family: Bacterial small subunit ribosomal RNA
Source: RNAcentral